Molecule: unclassified non-coding RNA, 786 nt
Filed under: uncultured Prochlorococcus sp.
Lineage: Bacteria; Bacillati; Cyanobacteriota; Cyanophyceae; Synechococcales; Prochlorococcaceae
Description: partial 16S-23S ribosomal RNA intergenic spacer; may also contain 16S ribosomal RNA and 23S ribosomal RNA
Rfam family: tRNA (bases 353-425)
Source: RNAcentral
UUGUGGAAGGAGGACGCCGAAGGUGGGGCUGAUGACUGGGGUGGAGUCGUAACAAGGUAGCCGUACCGGAAGGUGCGGCUGGAUCACCUCCUAACAGGGAGACAUAAACUGAUUAUGAUGUCUGAUUUAUAAAUUUAGGCCGUAAUCCUGUCACCUUAGGUCGAUCGGUACCUCAGAUUAUUAACUGUGAAAUUGAGAAAUCACUUAUCAUUAGUCCUUUAAUUUCAGUUCCUAAACUUGUCUAGGUCACACCCAACAAACUUUCUCCUGGGCUAUUAGCUCAGGCGGUUAGAGCGCACCCCUGAUAAGGGUGAGGUCCCUGGUUCAAGUCCAGGAUGGCCCAUUCGUUGUUGGGGGUAUAGCUCAGUUGGUAGAGCGCCUGCUUUGCAAGCAGGAUGUCAGCGGUUCGAGUCCGCUUACCCCCACUGAUCAACUACCUGAUAACUCAAUUGGAGAUUGUCAUUUGUUUAAAGUGACUUAGAUAUUGUUCAUCUGAAGGAACCUAGCUUCCUAUCACUCCUUAAUUAAUUUUAGGCUGAUAAGACGCUGGCUCACUGAGUAUUCGUAAGAAUAUCAGUUGAUUCAGCAGAACCUUGACAACUGCAUAGGAAAGUCUAGAAAAAUAAAGCAUCUCAUAGAUGCAUAGGAAUUUUAUAUUCAAUUUAUUGUAUAUAAUGCCUAUGAUUGAUUCUUGAGUUAGAGCAAAAAAUAGUCUAUUGCUUAAUUCUUUUAAUUAAUUGAUUAAUUAAAUUUAGCAAGUUAAAUAGAUUAAUGGUCAAGCUACAA